This is a non-coding RNA of Pelobates cultripes (western spadefoot toad), 214 nucleotides long. Lineage: Eukaryota; Metazoa; Chordata; Amphibia; Anura; Pelobatidae. The record is from the annotation of a GenBank genome assembly.
CCCAGCGUUCAUCAAUUAAGCUGCGGUUAACCGCAGCUUCAGGGAGGUUAAUUGCCGGCACACUCCAGCUCCCAGGUGGUCCAGUCAUUCGUACGGUUGUUCGGUAGAUUGAAACUACCGAACAACCGGCAGAAAAGCACGAAUACAGCUUUUCUGCAUGCAAAAAUAAAGUCUUUUACAAAGGGGGCCAUAGUCCAAAGGCAGCAGGCGAGCA